CCCGGGACGCGGCUCCGAGCCUCCGGCUGAUGGAGAUGUGCUCGGUCCUCCCAGGAGUGGCAGAGGUUGGGUAUGAUUGUCCAUCGGGGCCGGAAGCCAGUGUCAUCACUGUGACGGCGUUGCCAGCACUUGGAGAGGCUGAGGCGGGAUCCCAAGUUCAAGGCCAGCCUGGGCAACUUUGCAAGACCCUCAGAAUACCAGAACAACAAAGACCAGGGCUGUAGCACACCUCGAAGGAUUAAAAGGCACUGCUGAAAGGUGCUGGCGAGAAACUGAAGAUUGACCAUGAGAAAGAAGGUGGAGAAACAGCUGCUGCCCGAGAGGCACAAGUAGCAGGCGGUCUGCAGGAUCCGGCCUUCCCAGGAGGUGCCCCAUCCAGCCUGCCCCAGAGUGAAGGGAAGCUUUCUGGACCUUCUCCUCCUCCUUCAGAAGUCACCUUGGCCCCAAGCUCCGUCAGGGGCAGCCACCCUCCUGUCAUCCCCU
Molecule: long non-coding RNA, 483 nt
Filed under: Heterocephalus glaber (naked mole-rat)
Lineage: Eukaryota; Metazoa; Chordata; Mammalia; Rodentia; Bathyergidae
Description: lncRNA (ENSHGLG00000049255.1)
Source: RNAcentral